UUAAAAAACUAAAAAUAUGCUCCUUUAACUCUCUUACUAAUAUCUUAAUAAAUAUAAUUAUAAUAAAUGUGAUACAUUUAACAUUUUCUAUAACAUUUAAAAGGAAAAUGUUUAGAUUCAUUUUAUUGUCAUAAAAGAUCUGAUAUUAUUACCCAACAUUUCUCAUUCCUUAUAAUUUACUCUCAUUAUUUUUUCAAUUUUGUGAUCUUUUACAAAUUUAAGGCAUAACGUGGGAAGACCACGAACCUUCUAAUUAAACUGAAUAAUUAGUUCAUAUUAAUGUAACGGAAUUCUCUAUUUUGGUGGUGCUAAAUAUAUCCCGGGAAGAGCAAUUUAUUCAUUUAGAUUUUCAAGUAAUUUCAUAAAAUAUCAGAUGUACGUAGUAGUAACUUUUUCCCCGGCUUUGGUUUUAGACGCUACUAAAAAAAUAGAAGUUAGCAAAAAAUUCUAUUGUUAAACAGCAAAUCAGUUGCUAAUCUUAUUAAGUGAUCGAUUAACACGGAUUAUCAAAAAUAAUUAUUAGCUAUGAGCAAUUAAAUGACGGAUUAGCAACGAAGUUUGAAGCUAAUUUGUACGAAGUGUUAUUUUUCUUCUGAUUUCAAGACGAAAUUCUCUAUUUUGGUGGUGUCAAGAUAUAUCGCGGGCAGAGCAAUUUAUUCAAUCAGAUUCUCAGGUAAUUUUUUAAAAGAUAAGUUGCAGUAGUACCUUUUUUCCUUGUGGCUUUGAUUUCUAGACACUACUAAAAGAAUAAAAAUUAGCAAUGGACAAAUUCUGUUGCAACAACAAAUCAGUUCGUAAUUUUAUUUAGGACGGAUUUAGCACUAAGAGCAAUUUAAUGGCAGAUUAGCAACGAAGUUUAUAACUAAUUUCAGUUUUUUUUCCUAGUGAAAUACGAGAAAUGGAGGGACUGAUUGCAUGGGAGCUCAUGAGAAGAAGGUGCAAGCAUUUUACUCCUGUCGAAGAAGGGAAUUAUCCCAUUUAAAAUAACAGAUAGGUGAUCCAUAUUACGAUUCUUUUUCCAUUGAAGUUGGGUCUCCUCACACUUUUCUUAUAAUAUUCUUUUUGAUAUCCUGCAAUUCUGUGUUUACUAGAAAAAAUAUUUUUGUUUCGUUAUCCCGCCAUUGUAAAUGAUUUUCUUGCUAAUGAAUAUGCUUGUAUUUCAUUUAUCUUCUCAAUAUACAACAUAAAUAACACCACUAAUUUAAUUUUU
Long non-coding RNA from Lycium ferocissimum, 1210 nucleotides. RefSeq lists it as uncharacterized. The record is from RefSeq and is a predicted model, not a curated record. The transcript is spliced from 2 exons. Lineage: Eukaryota; Viridiplantae; Streptophyta; Magnoliopsida; Solanales; Solanaceae.